RNAcentral lists this ribosomal RNA (253 nucleotides) under uncultured bacterium. Its description in RNAcentral is "partial 16S ribosomal RNA". It matches the Rfam family "Bacterial small subunit ribosomal RNA", at positions 524 to 776 of the family's 1533-position model. The record is from RNAcentral.
UACGUAGGGUGCGAGCGUUAAUCGGAAUUACUGGGCGUAAAGCGUGCGUAGGCGGUCCCGCAAGUCCGCUGUGAAAGCCCCGAGCUUAACUUGGGAACUGCAGUGGAAACUAUGGGACUUGAAUCCGGCAGAGGGGGGUGGAAUGCCACGUGUAGCAGUGAAAUGCGUAGAGAUGUGGCGGAACACCGAUGGCGAAGGCGGCUUACUGGUCCGGUUCUGACGCUGAGGCGCGAAAGCGUGGGGAGCAAACAGG